CUGAAUGGGAACGAAGCUCUGCUAGGUGGCAGCACUGAAAUGACAUGCAAGCCUCUCGAAACCGGUAUGAGAAUUGACUCCUCCUUCCUCUCUGGUUUUCACCUUUACCCUGCGCCGAGGAGGAGCACCCUGCCCAGACUGGACGUAACGUGGGGGCCUGGUUAGUCCCCGGAGAUCCGUACAAAAUACGACCCGGCAGCGCACCGAGCCUGGGGCGUUCGUGCUUUCCACGUGGCCGCAGGAAGGCGCGGCCGGGCGCGUGAAACAGGAAGCGCUUGUGUGCUGGCGCGCGAGGGAAGCCGCGGCAGGACAGGGACAGUCGUUGCCCCGUGGCCCUUGCCAGACUCGGGGAAUGGUUUAAUGGGAGUUUCAUGUCCCCAGUCCUGCCCACAGCGCACAAUGAAGAUCCACACCUGUCCCAGCCGCCUGUGGAGGGUUCGGGAUUGAUUGAGAGUGUGGUCGGGGGGUAGAAAGGUAAGAAAGGUUUUAUUGACUUAACAAAAACACGACUAUGCAUAGUAUACUAAGACAGA
This 533-nucleotide long non-coding RNA is filed under the name Crocodylus porosus (Australian saltwater crocodile). RNAcentral's name for it is "lncRNA (ENSCPRG00005012576.1)". The record is from RNAcentral. Lineage: Eukaryota; Metazoa; Chordata; Crocodylia; Crocodylidae.